GAGUUUAUUGCCUUAGGUCUUAGUAUUGCAAAUACUAAUGUGAAUAAUUUUAUUCUAGGCUCU
RNAcentral lists this transfer RNA (63 nucleotides) under Schistocephalus solidus. Its description in RNAcentral is "tRNA-Cys". The record is from RNAcentral. Lineage: Eukaryota; Metazoa; Platyhelminthes; Cestoda; Diphyllobothriidea; Diphyllobothriidae.